UAAAAUCUUAGUGGCGACGGGUGAGUAACGCGUGGGUAACCUGCCUUACACUGGGGGACAACACUUAGAAAUAGGUGCUAAUACCGCAUAAGCGCACGAAGCCGCAUGGAUUUGUGUGAAAAACUCCGGUGGUGUAAGAUGGACCCGCGUCUGAUUAGCUUGUUGGCGGGGUAACGGCCCACCAAGGCGACGAUCAGUAGCCGGCCUGAGAGGGUGGACGGCCACAUUGGGACUGAGACACGGCCCAAACUCCUACGGAAGGCAGCAG
Molecule: ribosomal RNA, 268 nt
Filed under: uncultured bacterium
Lineage: Bacteria
Description: partial 16S ribosomal RNA
Rfam family: Bacterial small subunit ribosomal RNA
Source: RNAcentral